UUGGAAUGACCGUUUCAUAUUCCUUUAAUUGGGGUGUGAAUUAGACAUGAUCAGCCUCACAUCGCAAGGACCAUCGCCAUGCCUACUUAACUAUAAAAAGGCAACAACAGGGAGAGAGAAUGAAGAACACAAUAUUGGGACUAAGUUUUGGUUCUUGGAGAGGAUUUUCAACAAGGUCAACUAUCAAGGUAUAAUAUUAAUUCUUCAUUAUGUUACUUUGCCCUCCAUAAUGUGAAAUUUAGCAUCAAACUUUUGUGAUUUGUAUAAAUAUCAAGGAAUCCACCAAAGAACCCUAAAGGGUAGGGUUUUGAAUUUGUGAACAUUAAAGGUAAUUCCUUCACUUAGACUUGAUAUUUUAUGAUCAUUAUGGUGUUUUAUGGGUAUUUAUUGAUAUUAAUUGUUGUAAGUGAUUGGUUAAGUUUGACGAAAAUGUAGUCGAAGGGUGGAAUGCAUGUUUAUAAAGAGUUGUACAUAGAAUUUAUUGACUAAAAAUGCAUAAGAAUGAAAUGGGUAACUCUACAUCAUGCCACCCCUAUAGAAUAAUGGAUUGGUUGUCUUAGGGCCUACUUCAAUCUUGAUGAAUUGAACUUGUUACGCUUUAUUUGUUAUGAUUAAGCCCUAAUAUAUGUGAAUUGUCACUCUUGGAUUGUACUAUUGGGUUGAGAAGGCCAGAAUCAUACUUAAGGUCUGGGUAAGUUGAGAUUUGACCAUCUAAAUAUUUUUCUGAAAUGCAUGCAUCCAAAGUGUUUGACGAAUUUCCUAGACGAAUUAUUUGAAAUAUUUUGAGAUCAAGUGCUUAUGGGGACGAGCGGGUGCUUGAUUCACCAUAUUUGUUGAACGAUUUGAAUGUUGACCAUGAGACUUAGUGUUUGAAUAUUGAAAUGUCUUUCUUAACGCUCUUGGAGUUUUUAUUUAUUUUAAAUAUUAUAAGUAGCAUAAUUUGACAUAAAUAAAGUGUUACUGGAAAAGUUUUAAAUAUUUGAUACUUUUAAGGUUGUUUGACGCCUUUAUGGUUAUAUUGACGCCUUGUAUGGCUUUUAAAAUUAUUUUAUGGUUUGUUGAAGUUGUUUAACUUUCUAAAUGUUGAUGAUCGUUAUAUUGAUAUUCAGACAUGUCGAUAUUAUCCUGGAUAGACCAACAAAGUGGAGCAUGCGAAUAAUCUCGAAUUGUUUAGUGGACCAUUGACACGUUGCAAGUCUAAGAACAUCCAAGGAUUGCACAGUAGGAAGUUGCAUAAUCUUCAAGCGUGGAUUAGAAGAUGUUUGGAGAGAUAAUUUGAUGAUUCAUGCAAAGAUUACCAUAUUUAGAAUCUUGAAGAUUGCUUGAAACAAGUGGCUGAGUGAAGAUCGUUUAGAAGGUGUGCAUAACAGCGCGAACCCCGUACAAUUUUGCCAAACGGGAACUUUCACUAGGAGCCAAAAUGUUCAUGAGCCAAAACAGAAGGUUCAGCGCUAUCAUGCAAUUGCGCCACUCAUAGCAGGAAUUCAAGAAGGGGACUAUAAAUUUAAGACUGUAGGUUGCUUUCAUACUUGAGAUUGGAGGACCCUAUAAGAGAGAACUAGGAUCUCUUGUUUCAUAUUCAACUUCGGAUUACCAUUUUUCAAUAAUUGGAAAUUCUUUAGGGUAAUCGUCUUCUCGUUAACUUGCAUUUGGGGUUCAAUUUCGCCUUCUUUGGAGACGAUAAUUCUUUAGUGCAUCGGUUGUUGCCUGAAAUGUUCAUAUAGGAUUUUAGAUUUUUUCUCUAUUUGCUUAUCCAUAUUUUCCGU
Molecule: long non-coding RNA, 1766 nt
Filed under: Nicotiana tabacum (common tobacco)
Lineage: Eukaryota; Viridiplantae; Streptophyta; Magnoliopsida; Solanales; Solanaceae
Description: long non-coding RNA (NTAB_LNC012478)
Source: RNAcentral